CCUACGGGAGACAGCAGUGAGGAAUAUUUGUCAAUGGGCGCGAGCCUGAACCAGCCAAGUAGCGUGACGGCUGACUGCCCUACGGGUUGUAAACUUCUUUUAUCAAGGAAUAAAGUUAGGCACGUGUGCCUUUUUGUAUGUACUUUAUGACUAAGGAUCGGCUAACUCCUUGCCCGCAGCCGCAGUAAUACGGAGGAUCCGAGCGUUAUCCGGAUUUAUUGGGUUUAAAGGGAGCGUAAAUGGGUUGUUAAGUCAGUUGUGAAAUUUUGCGGCUCAACCGUAAAAGUGCAAUUGAUACUGGCAGCCGUGAGGACAGGUGAGGUAGGCGGAAUGCGUGGUGUAGCGGUGAAAUGCUUAGAUAGCACGAAGAACUCCGAUUGCGAAGGCAGCUUACUAAAUUGCCACUGACAUUGAUGCUCGAAAGUGUGGGUAUCAAACAGGAUUAGAUACCCCAGUAGUC
Molecule: ribosomal RNA, 460 nt
Filed under: uncultured bacterium
Lineage: Bacteria
Description: partial 16S ribosomal RNA
Rfam family: Bacterial small subunit ribosomal RNA
Source: RNAcentral